This 93-nucleotide ribosomal RNA is filed under the name Chlorocebus sabaeus (green monkey). The record is from RNAcentral. Lineage: Eukaryota; Metazoa; Chordata; Mammalia; Primates; Cercopithecidae.
GUCUAUGUCCACACCACCCUGAAUGUGCCCUGUCUCCUCUGAUCUCAGAAGCUAAGCGGAGUUGGGCCCGGUUAGUACUUGGAGAAAUAAUAU